RNAcentral lists this ribosomal RNA (253 nucleotides) under uncultured bacterium. Its description in RNAcentral is "partial 16S ribosomal RNA". It matches the Rfam family "Bacterial small subunit ribosomal RNA", at positions 524 to 776 of the family's 1533-position model. The record is from RNAcentral.
UACGUAGGGCGCGAGCGUUGUCCGGAAUUAUUGGGCGUAAAGAGCUCGUAGGCGGCCUGUCGCGUCGGUUGUGAAAGCCCGGGGCUCAACCCCGGGUCUGCAGUCGAUACGGGCAGGCUAGAGUUCGGUAGGGGAGAUCGGAAUUCCUGGUGUAGCGGUGAAAUGCGCAGAUAUCAGGAGGAACACCGGUGGCGAAGGCGGAUCUCUGGGCCGAUACUGACGCUGAGGAGCGAGAGCGUGGGGAGCGAACAGG